CCUCCCCACAUUGGGGGGGUGCAGAUUUUGGGGUGGGGGGGUUACAAACGUGUCUUACCAGGAUACAAACCCUUAUACCAACCAUACACUGAGGUGUGGAGGGGGGAGCACUAGGAUCAGCUGCAAGCCAGCAGUGGCAAAAGCCAUCACAAAGGUGGCUGCAGUGACAAUAAAACACAAUUAAUUAAUGACGGGGUUAAUUAAGCGACACCCCCGGCGCGCCGCCGGGACAACAACAACAACAACAACAACAACAACAACAACAGCGUUCGCCCCCCCCACCCCCAAAAAAAAAUAACCGGACGCGGAAACGGCGAACCCCGAAAUUGGGAUACCCCAAAAAUGGGAUACCCCAAAAAUGGGAUAUACUGGGAUGGGGACACCCCAAAAACGGGACACCCCAAAACUGGGACACACCAGAAUAGGGACACCCCAAAACCGAGAUACCACCGGAAUGGGGACACCCUGGAACCAGGGAAACCCCGAGAACGAUGGGGACACCCCAAAACUGGGACACCCCAGGAACGGGGACAGCCCCGGAACCAGGGACACCCCCGGAACCAGGGACACCCCCAGAAUGGGGACACCCCCAAACCUCGGCCCCAAGGGGUGCAGGGACACAGAGAGACACAGAGAGAGCGGCGCCGGCACGGCACGAUGGACUCGGCCAACGAGACGUUGACCAAGCUCAACGAAAGGUUGGACUACCUCAACAGAAGGCUGGCCAACGUCAAUGGAAGGUUGGUCAACCUCAACAGAAUGGUCAACCUCAAUGGAAGGCUGGACAACCUCAACGGAAUGGUCAACCUCAAUGGAAGUUUGGCCAACCUCAAUGGAGGGUUGGCCAACCUCAAUGGAAGAUCGGUCAACCUCAAUGAAAGGUUGGCAAACCUCAGCAGAAGGUUGACCAACCUCAAUGGAAGGCUGGCGCACCUCAAUGGAAGGUUGGACAACCUCAGCGGAAGGUUGGACAACAUCAAUGGAACUUUGGCUAACCUCAAUGGAAGAUUGGUCAACCUCAAUGGAAGGUUGGCAAACCUCAAUGGAAGGUUGACCAAUGGGAGGUCUACCCAUAGGCUUGGCCAGCUGGCCAACUUGGACACUUGACCAAUGGGUGGUUGGCCAAUGGAAAGUUGACCCAUAUGCUGAGACAGCUUAAGAUGUUUGGCCAAUGGAAGGUUGACCAAUGGAAGAUUGACCGAGGUCUACCCACAGCCUUGGCCAACCAACGGUAGCCUUGGCCAACUGUAGCCUUCGUCAACCAUAGCCUUGGCCAACCAACAGUAGCCUUGGCCAACCAGAACCUUGGCCAACCAUAGCCUCGGUUACCUGAAGUUUGCCCACCUGGAACCUUGACUAAUUGUAGCUUGGCCAACUGUAGCCUUGGUCAACCAUCCCAUUGGUCAGCCAUAACCUCGGCCGCCUGUAGUUUGGCUGUCUGUAGCCUUGGCCACCGACUGUAGCUCUGCUGGUACCUUGACUAGCCGUGACCUUGGCCACCACCUGUAGUCGAGCAGUGACCGGUGCUUUGGCCACCUGUAGCCUUGGCCAUUGGUAGCCUUGGCCACCUAAAUCUGGGUCACCUGUCCACCUGUAAAUGUGGCCACCCACAAUUUGGCCACCUUGACCACUGGUAGCCCUGCCCACUUCUAGUUUGGCCACCCAGUAGUCUUGGGCCACCUGAGUCCUAUCCACUUGUAACCCUGACCACUGGUAGCCUUGGUCACCUGUAGCUUGACCACCUGAACCCUUGACCACUGGUGGCCUUGGCU
Junco hyemalis (dark-eyed junco) is the source of this 1772-nucleotide long non-coding RNA. NCBI's taxonomy places the organism in Eukaryota, Metazoa, Chordata, Aves, Passeriformes, Passerellidae. The record is from Ensembl.